Molecule: long non-coding RNA, 356 nt
Organism: Camponotus floridanus (Florida carpenter ant)
Lineage: Eukaryota; Metazoa; Arthropoda; Insecta; Hymenoptera; Formicidae
Exons: 2
Source: RefSeq, a predicted model, not a curated record
AAAACUUUUCUAUUCAUGUUAUAACUGAAUUAAUAUUCAUAACUCGUGGUUCUUCCUGCGCACAAAUAAAUUAGAAGCUAUGCGAUUGAGAGGGUGGAGAUAUAAUGUCUUUGUUGGAGGUUUUGUUGGACUUAUAGGUGUAUACUGUUACGCUACCAUGAUCCGACCUAUGAUAAAUCCUGAGCCAUAUAAGAGAGCUAGAGAACAAUCUUUCAGAUAAAUGGACACAAGUUAUUCUAUGAAAUUUACUUGAAGGUUCCUAUAGAAUUAGCAUGUAUAAUAGAUUGUACAUUGUAAAAUUUUUUUUGGUAUCUUCAGAUAAAGGAUAGGUGACAAAUAAAAAUAUAAUUACAUGA